This 497-nucleotide ribosomal RNA is filed under the name uncultured bacterium. RNAcentral describes it as "partial 16S ribosomal RNA". It matches the Rfam family "Bacterial small subunit ribosomal RNA", at positions 28 to 507 of the family's 1533-position model. The record is from RNAcentral.
GAUGAACGCUGGCGGCGUGCCUAAUACAUGCCAGUCGAGCGAACAGAUGAGGAGCUUGCUCCUCUGACGUUAGCGGCGGACGGGUGAGUAACACGUGGAUAACCUACCUAUAAGACUGGGAUAACUUCGGGAAAUCGGAGCUAAUACCGGAUAAUAUAUUGAACCGCAUGGUUCAAUAGUGAAAGACGGUUUUGCUGUCACUUAUAGAUGGAUCCGCGCCGCAUUAGCUAGUUGGUAAGGUAACGGCUUACCAAGGCAACGAUGCGUAGCCGACCUGAGAGGGUGAUCGGCCACACUGGAACUGAGACACGGUCCAGACUCCUACGGGAGGCAGCAGUAGGGAAUCUUCCGCAAUGGGCGAAAGCCUGACGGAGCAACGCCGCGUGAGUGAUGAAGGUCUUCGGAUCGUAAAACUCUGUUAUUAGGGAAGAACAAAUGUGUAAGUAACUAUGCACGUCUUGACGGUACCUAAUCAGAAAGCCACGGCUAACUACGUG